GAGGGUAGGACGGUACUCGAGUAAGAAGCCGGCCCUAACUACGUCGCAGCAGCCGCGGUAAUACGUAGGGGGCAAGCGUUAUCCGGAUUUACUGGGUGUAAAGGGAGCGUAGACGGUGUAUCAAGUCUGAAGUGAACACCCACGGCUCACAGCUGGGCUUGCUUUGGAAACUGGUAGACUAGAGUACUGGAGAGGUAAGCGGAAUUCCUGGUGUAGUAGUGAAAUGCGUAGAUAU
Molecule: ribosomal RNA, 235 nt
Filed under: Butyrivibrio fibrisolvens
Lineage: Bacteria; Bacillati; Bacillota; Clostridia; Lachnospirales; Lachnospiraceae
Description: partial 16S ribosomal RNA
Rfam family: Bacterial small subunit ribosomal RNA
Source: RNAcentral